UACGGGGGGGGCAAGCGUUGUUCGGAAUUACUGGGCGUAAAGGGCGCGUAGGCGGCCUUCUAAGUCAGACGUGAAAUCCCUCGGCUCAACCGAGGAACUGCGUCUGAUACUGGAAGGCUUGAAUCCGGGAGAGGGAUGUGGAAUUCCAGGUGUAGCGGUGAAAUGCGUAGAUAUCUGGAGGAACACCGGUGGCGAAGGCGGAUCUCUGGGCCAUAACUGACGCUGAGGAGCGAAAGCAUGGGGAGCGAACAGG
RNAcentral lists this ribosomal RNA (253 nucleotides) under uncultured bacterium. RNAcentral describes it as "partial 16S ribosomal RNA". It matches the Rfam family "Bacterial small subunit ribosomal RNA", at positions 524 to 776 of the family's 1533-position model. The record is from RNAcentral.